AGUUCAAAAAGGAAAAAAAACGAAAGAAAGGUCCACUCCCGCUAAAGCUUCCCCGAGAAGAGGAGGGCGUAAGGCAAGAGGGGGCAAAAGAUAGAGGGGAGUAUACCUAUAUCUUCUUUUCUUCCCUUCUUUAGAUAAUGUGUAUAAAGCUGCAAGUCAUUUCAAGGGGAUACUUAUUUAACUAAUGAUUUGAAAAAUGGUUACAAGUUCUCCUUACAAGUCGUUGAUUUUGACUUCUUUAUAUGUAUGUGGAUUAUAUAUAUUUUUUUAAUUUCCUUUUAGGAAUAAAUAAAAACUUGCAUCUUGAUAUGAACCAUCCCUCCUUCUUUUUCAUUUAAGGAAUAUAUAGUUUUGAUAUGUAUUGUUGAUAUUUGCCAAUUUUGUUUAUAUGGUCAGAUAUUUUUUCACCUUUUGAUUACCAAAUUUAUAAAACCAUUUGGUGACUUCACUAGACGAAGAAUUCAUGCAAAACAUUCUCGCAGUAUAGAUCUGCUCUCACUACUUCAAGUUCAUUUACAAAGGAAUUUUAUGCAGUUUUCAAAAUGAAAUGUUUAUCAGCCUCAUCAAAUAAUAUUAGCUUUUGGAGAUUUCAGUUUGUCCUUUGGAUCCACCACCCCUGUGCUGCCCACCUGCCGCUCGAGGGAAUUAAAAAGUCUUCGCUGGCAGGUGGCGCUGUUGGUGAUGGUGACGGUAGCGAUGUAGGGUAAGAUGUAUUAGACAACGACACCCAUCUUUUGGAUGACUGUAUACACUCACAAAUUUCUCAGUCACUAGAAUAAUUUCUUGUCCCUUAAAUUCAGUCUAGAUGAUUUUUGUUUUUGGUAAUUUUAUACUUUUUUCUCUCCUUUUUUUCAUUGUUUUCUGUUGGUUUCUAGUUUAAAGUGUUUAAGGCUAUUUAGAAU
Non-coding RNA from Penaeus vannamei (Pacific white shrimp), 902 nucleotides. The record is from RefSeq and is a predicted model, not a curated record. NCBI's taxonomy places the organism in Eukaryota, Metazoa, Arthropoda, Malacostraca, Decapoda, Penaeidae.